RNAcentral lists this ribosomal RNA (164 nucleotides) under uncultured bacterium. Its description in RNAcentral is "partial 16S rRNA". It matches the Rfam family "Bacterial small subunit ribosomal RNA", at positions 355 to 511 of the family's 1533-position model. The record is from RNAcentral.
UAGGGAAUCUUCCACAAUGGGCGCAAGCCUGAUGGAGCAACACCGCGUGAGUGAAGAAGGUCUUCGGAUCGUAAAACUCUGUUGUUAGAGAAGAACACGAGUGAGAGUAACUGUUCAUUCGAUGACGGUAUCUAACCAGCAAGUCACGGCUAACUACGUGCCGG